GACGAACGCUGGCGGCGUGCCUAAUACAUGCAAGUCGAACGCUUCUUUCCUCCCGAGUGCUUGCACUCAAUUGGAAAGAGGAGUGGCGGACGGGUGAGUAACACGUGGGUAACCUACCCAUCAGAGGGGGAUAACACUUGGAAACAGGUGCUAAUACCGCAUAACAGUUUAUGCCGCAUGGCAUAAGAGUGAAAGGCGCUUUCGGGUGUCGCUGAUGGAUGGACCCGCGGUGCAUUAGCUAGUUGGUGAGGUAACGGCUCACCAAGGCCACGAUGCAUAGCCGACCUGAGGGGGUGAUCGGCCACACUGGGACUGAGACACGGCCCAGACUCCUACGGGAGGCAGCAGUAGGGAAUCUUCGGCAAUGGACGAAAGUCUAACCGAGCAACGCCGCGUGAGUGAAGAAGGUUUUCGGAUCGUAAAACUCUGUUGUUAGAGAAGAACAAGGACGUUAGUAACUGAACGUCCCCUGACGGUAUCUAACCAGAAAGCCACGGCUAACUACGUG
RNAcentral lists this ribosomal RNA (508 nucleotides) under uncultured bacterium. Its description in RNAcentral is "partial 16S ribosomal RNA". It matches the Rfam family "Bacterial small subunit ribosomal RNA", at positions 28 to 507 of the family's 1533-position model. The record is from RNAcentral.